This 392-nucleotide long non-coding RNA is filed under the name Canis lupus dingo (dingo). RNAcentral describes it as "lncRNA (ENSCAFG00020027295.1)". The record is from RNAcentral. Lineage: Eukaryota; Metazoa; Chordata; Mammalia; Carnivora; Canidae.
CGCGGAGGGGGGAAGGCCACCUCGCCUCCCUGCCGAUCGCCCCCACCCCCGCCCCAACAAUUGCGACUAAUGAUUAACAAACCUUAAACUUUCUUCCCCCAGCCUCGCGCCCCGCCACGAGGGCAUCUACCGAGGGGCAGCGGGGGUGGGGGGCAGAGGGUCGCGGCUAGAGCCCCGGGAAGGCACUGAGAUGCCACUUUUGGUUCGGCCCUCGCUGGUAGCAGCCCCGAGGACCCUCUCCCUGCCCAUGGACGCGGGGCUGCGAGCGCCCGGGGAGCCGAGAUGUUGUAGGUCUCUGCUCUUGUAAGACUUUGGCUGCAGAAUCCCGGGAUAAGCCCUCCUAGGUGAGUUAUCUAUUUCCUGAAUGCUGUCUGUCUCCUACCUGCCUAUGC